Colletes gigas is the source of this 687-nucleotide long non-coding RNA. RefSeq lists it as uncharacterized. The record is from RefSeq and is a predicted model, not a curated record. The transcript is spliced from 3 exons. Lineage: Eukaryota; Metazoa; Arthropoda; Insecta; Hymenoptera; Colletidae.
GUGGACAAAAAACUGUUAAUUUUAUACAGAGUGUGUGUCGAAUGCCGCAACGAACGUGUUAAUGCAUAGUCGUCGAACGGGUGGCGCGGUUUGCAUUUUUUCCACUCGUCGAGGAUGCGACGCGGCGUUGGCGGAAAUGGGAGUACAGCAUUGGUUCGGGCACGAUACCAGAGGAACGUGGUUAUAAGAUGACAGGAUUGCUGCCAAAAAAAUCGUACAUUUUUUGAACGAUACUCCUACGCGAAGUAUUCGAAGCAACUAAAUUACAGAUUUCGCGAACUAGUAUUUGGAGAAUAUUACCAAACUGACAAAUGGUUGUCGCAUCGUGCCCCAACUAUGCAAGAAUUAUUCUCAACUGAUUAUCGAAAACGAGUCGAAUCCUGUGAUUGAUAUUCAAAUGCAGUGGAAAAUGACGAUUUAUUUUCAUCAAGGACAUUAUGGACGGGCGAGAUGAUUUGUGCGAAAUGAGAGAUUUUGAUCAAACAGUUGAUCAAAUUUUACGAACAAUGUAUCGUUACUGUACAGCUAAAAUGGAUGGAUGCAGUUAGAUGGUUGAACGUCGUACUAUGCAGAACAAGUUAGAAACUGGUUGCAUGAAAAUUAUUGGUCCUUUAACCAACGAGAGAACUGGAUUUUACACCUCUUGAUUUCUAUCUAUGGGAAACUCUAGAACAAAGGAUUUACAGU